Epinephelus lanceolatus (giant grouper) is the source of this 1088-nucleotide non-coding RNA. NCBI's taxonomy places the organism in Eukaryota, Metazoa, Chordata, Actinopteri, Perciformes, Serranidae. The record is from RefSeq and is a predicted model, not a curated record.
CUGAGGAAACCAUAGGUGCAGAGUGCAGACAGUCAUGAAAUGACUUCUAACACGAACUAGAGCGCUUCGGGUAGUCACGCUGAUAUUGUGCAGUCUGCCCGGCACCUGCUAAGCUUGAUUACAUCAUCUGGGACACAACUGGGCACAUCCAGUGAUGGCACAAAUCAAAACACAAGAGAACAGAGACAUGGAGGUCCCAGUGGCAGCGCAGCCCAGCCCUCACUCCAAAUGGAAAUGACCAGGGUACAUGCUGAUCGGGGGUGGAAAAUGUAGACGUGGCAUGCCUCAUGUUCACAGUCCGUGGCGCUGGAAGGAGCAGUUUCAUAUCCGGGAAGAGUGUUCACAACCAACGGAUUGAGCGGCUGUGGAGAGACCUGUGGGCAGCUGUAACAAACAUCUACUAUGAUGUUCUCCACUACCUUGAGGAAGAGGGCUUCCUCAGCAUUGCUAACGCUACACACCUCUUCACUAUGAUAUCAGUUAUUUUCUCAUCAUUUGUACCAAAGUGCUCCACACUCUCUGUAAAGCAUGCAUUUGUUACUUUGAAUAUUACAGAUAACACAAAAGUAUCUACCUAGCAAAAAGCCAUGAUAAAAAUAUAUCAUAGGUUCCUGUCUACUCAAAGCCAUUUGUAGUGUAAACAUCACUAUUGUGAAAUGCAUUCUAUGUCCGUUGUUGUUUACUGUAUUGAAAACCAUUGCAUUUUCCACAAGUCACUUUACAUGUUUGCCAUCUCGUCGUCCUGUAGAGUUAGUCUGAGAUGUUUUCCUCAUGUGGAUGUAAAUCUCAUGGUUUUUACAUGUCACUCUAAUACCUCACUUAAAUAAUCCUUCCUUGUUCUUAAAUGACCCUGGUCGGCUAUUUUAUAGUCAUUUUUAUCCUGACAAGAUCAGACCUAUAACUCAUCAGUAAACUCUCUUUAGACAACUGUUUCUGGAAAUGUGUGCCUUCUGCUAGAGCUGCUGCUGCUGCUGCUCUCUGCAGCAUGUGGUCACAUGUUUUCCGUUCAUAGUGUCAUUUUGAGGACUGUUAAUGAAUGAUGAUAAUGAAUGAAGGGGUUUUCUUUAAAAAAAUAAAAAUGCAAUGGA